CUACGGGAGGCAGCAGUGGGGAAUAUUGGACAAUGGGGGCAACCCUGAUCCAGCCAUGCCGCGUGAGUGAUGAAGGCCUUAGGGUUGUAAAGCUCUUUCGUUGGGGAAGAUAAUGACGGUACCCAAAGAAGAAGCCCCGGCUAACUUCGUGCCAGCAGCCGCGGUAAUACGAAGGGGGCUAGCGUUGCUCGGAAUCACUGGGCGUAAAGCGCACGUAGGCGGCUUUCUAAGUCAGGGGUGAAAUCCCGGAGCUCAACUCCGGAACUGCCCUUGAUACUGGAAGGCUCGAGUUCGGGAGAGGUGAGUGGAACUGCGAGUGUAGAGGUGAAAUUCGUAGAUAUUCGCAAGAACACCAGUGGCGAAGGCGGCUCACUGGCCCGAUACUGACGCUGAGGUGCGAAAGCGUGGGGAGCAAACAGGAUUAGAAACCCCGGUAGUCC
Molecule: ribosomal RNA, 440 nt
Filed under: uncultured bacterium
Lineage: Bacteria
Description: bacterial SSU rRNA
Rfam family: Bacterial small subunit ribosomal RNA
Source: RNAcentral